Molecule: long non-coding RNA, 105 nt
Organism: Mustela erminea (ermine)
Lineage: Eukaryota; Metazoa; Chordata; Mammalia; Carnivora; Mustelidae
Exons: 3
Source: RefSeq, a predicted model, not a curated record
AUUGAAAAAAUGACACUUGUUCACAAAUGUUCAUUGUAGCACAAUUCACAGUAGUCAACAUGUGGAAACAACCUACAUGCCUAUCAACAGAUGGGUAAACAAUGU